AUUGGGCGUAAAGAGCUCGUAGGCGGUUUGUCGCGUCUGCCGUGAAAGUCCGGGGCUCAACUCCGGAUCUGCGGUGGGUACGGGCAGACUAGAGUGAUGUAGGGGAGACUGGAAUUCCUGGUGUAGCGGUGAAAUGCGCAGAUAUCAGGAGGAACACCGAUGGCGAAGGCAGGUCUCUGGGCAUUAACUGACGCUGAGGAGCGAAAGCAUGGGGAGCGAACAGGAUUAGAUACCCUGGUAGUCCAUGCCGUAAACGUUGGGCACUAGGUGUGGGGGACAUUCCACGUUUUCCGCGCCGUAGCUAACGCAUUAAGUGCCCCGCCUGGGGAGUACGGCCGCAAGGCUAAAACUCAAAGGAAUUGACGGGGGCCCGCACAAGCGGCGGAGCAUGCGGAUUAAUUCGAUGCAACGCGAAGAACCUUACCAAGGCUUGACAUGAACCGGAAAGAUCUGGAAACAGGUCCCCCACUUGUGGUCGGUUUACAGGUGGUGCAUGGUUGUCGUCAGCUCGUGUCGUGAGAUGUUGGGUUAAGUCCCGCAACGAGCGCAACCCUCGUUCUAUGUUGCCAGCACGUGAUGGUGGGGACUCAUAGGAGACUGCCGGGGUCAACUCGGAGGAAGGUGGGGACGACGUCAAAUCAUCAUGCCCCUUAUGUCUUGGGCUUCACGCAUGCUACAAUGGCCGGUACAAAGGGUUGCGAUACUGUGAGGUGGAGCUAAUCCCAAAAAGCCGGUCUCAGUUCGGAUUGGGGUCUGCAACUCGACCCCAUGAAGUCGGAGUCGCUAGUAAUCGCAGAUCAGCAACGCUGCGGUGAAUACGUUCCCGGGCCUUGUACACACCGCCCGUCAAGUCACGAAAGUUGGUAACACCCGAAGCCGGUGGCCUAACCCCUUGUGGG
Molecule: ribosomal RNA, 899 nt
Filed under: Arthrobacter sp. B4(2011)
Lineage: Bacteria; Bacillati; Actinomycetota; Actinomycetes; Micrococcales; Micrococcaceae
Description: bacterial SSU rRNA
Rfam family: Bacterial small subunit ribosomal RNA
Source: RNAcentral